AUUGCAAUUACUCCUAAUCCCUAUUAGGGAUUGAAAC
Desertifilum sp. is the source of this 37-nucleotide non-coding RNA. The record is from Rfam. NCBI's taxonomy places the organism in Bacteria, Bacillati, Cyanobacteriota, Cyanophyceae, Desertifilales, Desertifilaceae.